GUGGGGAAUUUUGGACAAUGGGCGCAAGCCUGAUCCAGCAAUGCCGCGUGCAGGAAGAAGGCCUUCGGGUUGUAAACUGCUUUUGUACGGAACGAAACGGUCCGGGUUAAUACCCUGGGCUAAUGACGGUACCGUAAGAAUAAGCACCGGCUAACUACGUGCCAGCAGCCGCGGUAAUACGUAGGGUGCAAGCGUUAAUCGGAAUUACUGGGCGUAAAGCGUGCGCAGGCGGUUUUGUAAGACAGGCGUGAAAUCCCCGGGCUCAACCUGGGAAUUGCGCUUGGGACUGCAAGGCUGGAGUGCGGCAGAGGGGGAUGGAAUUCCGCGUGUAGCAGUGAAAUGCGUAGAUAUGCGGAGGAACACCGAUGGCGAAGGCAAUCCCCUGGGCCUGCACUGACGCUCAUGCACGAAAGCGUGGGGAGCAAACAGGAUUAGAUACCCUGGUAGUCC
This 450-nucleotide ribosomal RNA is filed under the name uncultured bacterium. RNAcentral describes it as "partial 16S ribosomal RNA". It matches the Rfam family "Bacterial small subunit ribosomal RNA", at positions 354 to 796 of the family's 1533-position model. The record is from RNAcentral.